GAUGAACGCUGGCGGCGUGCCUAAUACAUGCAAGUCGAGCGAACGGACGAGAAGCUUGCUUUUCUGAUGUUAGCGGCGGACGGGUGAGUAACACGUGGAUAACCUACCUAUAAGACUGGGAUAACUUCGGGAAACCGGAGCUAAUACCGGAUAAUAUUUUGAACCGCAUGGUUCAAAAGUGAAAGACGGUCUUGCUGUCACUUAUAGAUGGAUCCGCUCUGCAUUAGCUAGUUGGUAAGGUAACGGCUUACCAAGGCAACGAUGCAUAGCCGACCUGAGAGGGUGAUCGGCCACACUGGAACUGAGACACGGUCCAGACUCCUACGGGAGGCAGCAGUAGGGAAUCUUCCGCAAUGGACGAAAGCCUGACGGAGCAACGCCGCGUGAGUGAUGAAGGUCUUCGGAUCGUAAAACUCUGUUAUUAGGGAAGAACAUAUGUGUAAGUAACUGUGCACAUCUUGACGGUACCUAAUCAGAAAGCCACGGCUAACUACGUG
This 497-nucleotide ribosomal RNA is filed under the name uncultured bacterium. RNAcentral describes it as "partial 16S ribosomal RNA". It matches the Rfam family "Bacterial small subunit ribosomal RNA", at positions 28 to 507 of the family's 1533-position model. The record is from RNAcentral.